Molecule: ribosomal RNA, 253 nt
Filed under: uncultured bacterium
Lineage: Bacteria
Description: partial 16S ribosomal RNA
Rfam family: Bacterial small subunit ribosomal RNA
Source: RNAcentral
UACGAAGGGGGCUAGCGUUGCUCAGAAUCACUGGGCGUAAAGGGUGCGUAGGCGGGUCUUUAAGUCAGGGGUGAAAUCCUGGAGCUCAACUCCAGAACUGCCUUUGAUACUGAGGAUCUUGAGUUCGGGAGAGGUGAGUGGAACUGCGAGUGUAGAGGUGAAAUUCGUAGAUAUUCGCAAGAACACCAGUGGCGAAGGCGGCUCACUGGCCCGAUACUGACGCUGAGGCACGAAAGCGUGGGGAGCAAACAGG